RNAcentral lists this ribosomal RNA (198 nucleotides) under uncultured bacterium. RNAcentral describes it as "partial 16S ribosomal RNA". It matches the Rfam family "Bacterial small subunit ribosomal RNA", at positions 328 to 539 of the family's 1533-position model. The record is from RNAcentral.
ACGCUCGACACCUACAGGAGGCAGCAGUGGGGAAUAUUGCACAAUGGGGGAAACCCUGAUGCAGCGACGCCGCGUGGAGGAAGAAGGUCUUCGGAUUGUAAACUCCUGUUGUUGGGGAAAAAGAGGAUGGUACCCAACAAGGAAGUGACGGCUAACUACGUGCCGACAGCCGCGGUAAUCUGAGCGGGCUGGCAAGGC